RNAcentral lists this transfer RNA (71 nucleotides) under Aphyllon uniflorum var. occidentale. RNAcentral's name for it is "tRNA-Gly". It matches the Rfam family "tRNA". From Rfam's summary of the family: Transfer RNA (tRNA) molecules are approximately 80 nucleotides in length. The record is from RNAcentral. Lineage: Eukaryota; Viridiplantae; Streptophyta; Magnoliopsida; Lamiales; Orobanchaceae.
GCGGAUAUAGUUUAGUGGUAAAAUCCUAGCCUUCCAAGCUAAUGAUGCGGGUUCGAUUCCCGCUACCCACC